GCCUGGCUAGCUUAGUUGGUGGAGCAUUCGACUCUUGAUCUCAGGGCUAUGAGUUCGAGCCCCAUGUUGGGUG
RNAcentral lists this transfer RNA (73 nucleotides) under Felis catus (domestic cat). It matches the Rfam family "tRNA". From Rfam's summary of the family: Transfer RNA (tRNA) molecules are approximately 80 nucleotides in length. Their secondary structure includes four short double-helical elements and three loops (D, anti-codon, and T loops). Further hydrogen bonds mediate the characteristic L-shaped molecular structure. tRNAs have two regions of fundamental functional importance: the anti-codon, which is responsible for specific mRNA codon recognition, and the 3' end, to which the tRNAs corresponding amino acid is attached (by aminoacyl-tRNA synthetases). tRNAs cope with the degeneracy of the genetic code in two manners: having more than one tRNA (with a specific anti-codon) for a particular amino acid; and 'wobble' base-pairing, i.e. permitting non-standard base-pairing at the 3rd anti-codon position. Lineage: Eukaryota; Metazoa; Chordata; Mammalia; Carnivora; Felidae. The record is from Rfam by way of RNAcentral.